This is a long non-coding RNA of Macadamia integrifolia, 602 nucleotides long. RefSeq lists it as uncharacterized. The transcript is spliced from 2 exons. Lineage: Eukaryota; Viridiplantae; Streptophyta; Magnoliopsida; Proteales; Proteaceae. The record is from RefSeq and is a predicted model, not a curated record.
UACCCAGAUGCACUUAACACCCCUAUUCAAUAAUCUUCUAUGUUUAGACAGUAUUUACCUUCUAAGGAAUUACUACCUUAAAAGGAGCUUGGUACCAUAUAUAUGUAUCCUCUGUUCUACUUAGUACAUACUCAGUUCAAGACUCACAACACCACCUGCUAUUGCAACCUUGCAUUCUUUUCUCCUCUUAAAAAGCUACUGUUGGGUUAUCUUUGGCUUUAUAAUGGCUUCAUCCAAACCCAAUCUUGCAUUAUUUUCUCUUAUUGUCCUACUUCUCUGCACCAUUCUCAUGGGCAUUCAAGGUGAAAAUGAUUCAUGUGUGGGAGACUGUAAGAGCCUUCAUGAGUGUGUGAAGAAAUGUGAUGCAUGGGGUUAUGAUCCUAGUCUUGCUGAAUGCUUUCCUAGGUGGGAAGCAUCCAUUGGUGACUGCUGCUGUAGAAAGACCUAUUUUUGAAUUUUGUUUGUAACAAAUCCCCUGGAGAGGGAAACUUUUAAGAUUGAAAACUGUUAUCUUAUGUGAUAGAAAAAAUAAUUUAUUAAAAAAUAAUAAUAGUUUUUUUUUUUCUUUCUUUCUUUUUAAUGAAAAAUUAGGAGUUUCUUUA